Molecule: long non-coding RNA, 156 nt
Filed under: Pongo abelii (Sumatran orangutan)
Lineage: Eukaryota; Metazoa; Chordata; Mammalia; Primates; Hominidae
Description: lincRNA
Source: RNAcentral
UUUCUUAAUUUUGGUUGACAUUUCUCUUGUUGUCCGGAGGAUUCAGCGCUAUUCCUCCCCUGUAGCCACCUGGCAUUCCCUCUCACACUCAGCAAUCCGAACCAGUAUAAACCCUCUGUGUUCCUCUGACUCCAGAGGUUUCCUUGUGUGCAAAGG